Molecule: ribosomal RNA, 1020 nt
Filed under: Escherichia coli
Lineage: Bacteria; Pseudomonadati; Pseudomonadota; Gammaproteobacteria; Enterobacterales; Enterobacteriaceae
Description: partial 23S ribosomal RNA
Rfam family: Bacterial large subunit ribosomal RNA
Source: RNAcentral
CCGGUAAACGGCGGCCGUAACUAUAACGGUCCUAAGGUAGCGAAAUUCCUUGUCGGGUAAGUUCCGACCUGCACGAAUGGCGUAAUGAUGGCCAGGCUGUCUCCACCCGAGACUCAGUGAAAUUGAACUCGCUGUGAAGAUGCAGUGUACCCGCGGCAAGACGGAAAGACCCCGUGAACCUUUACUAUAGCUUGACACUGAACAUUGAGCCUUGAUGUGUAGGAUAGGUGGGAGGCUUUGAAGUGUGGACGCCAGUCUGCAUGGAGCCGACCUUGAAAUACCACCCUUUAAUGUUUGAUGUUCUAACGUUGACCCGUAAUCCGGGUUGCGGACAGUGUCUGGUGGGUAGUUUGACUGGGGCGGUCUCCUCCUAAAGAGUAACGGAGGAGCACGAAGGUUGGCUAAUCCUGGUCGGACAUCAGGAGGUUAGUGCAAUGGCAUAAGCCAGCUUGACUGCGAGCGUGACGGCGCGAGCAGGUGCGAAAGCAGGUCAUAGUGAUCCGGUGGUUCUGAAUGGAAGGGCCAUCGCUCAACGGAUAAAAGGUACUCCGGGGAUAACAGGCUGAUACCGCCCAAGAGUUCAUAUCGACGGCGGUGUUUGGCACCUCGAUGUCGGCUCAUCACAUCCUGGGGCUGAAGUAGGUCCCAAGGGUAUGGCUGUUCGCCAUUUAAAGUGGUACGCGAGCUGGGUUUAGAACGUCGUGAGACAGUUCGGUCCCUAUCUGCCGUGGGCGCUGGAGAACUGAGGGGGGCUGCUCCUAGUACGAGAGGACCGGAGUGGACGCAUCACUGGUGUUCGGGUUGUCAUGCCAAUGGCACUGCCCGGUAGCUAAAUGCGGAAGAGAUAAGUGCUGAAAGCAUCUAAGCACGAAACUUGCCCCGAGAUGAGUUCUCCCUGACUCCUUGAGAGUCCUGAAGGAACGUUGAAGACGACGACGUUGAUAGGCCGGGUGUGUAAGCGCAGCGAUGCGUUGAGCUAACCGGUACUAAUGAACCGUGAGGCUUAACCUUACAACGCCG